Molecule: ribosomal RNA, 492 nt
Filed under: uncultured bacterium
Lineage: Bacteria
Description: partial 16S ribosomal RNA
Rfam family: Bacterial small subunit ribosomal RNA
Source: RNAcentral
AGUGAACGCUGGCGGUAUGCCUAACACAUGCAAGUCGAACGGCAGCACAGUAAGAGCUUGCUCUUACGGGUGGCGAGUGGCGGACGGGUGAGGAAUACAUCGGAAUCUACUUUUUCUUGGGGGAUAACGUAGGGAAACUUACGCUAAUACCGCAUACGACCUACGGGUGAAAGCAGGGGAUCUUCGGACCUUGCGCGAUUGAAUGAGCCGAUGUCGGAUUAGCUAGUUGGCGGGGUAAAGGCCCACCAAGGCGACGAUCCGUAGCUGGUCUGAGAGGAUGAUCAGCCACACUGGAACUGAGACACGGUCCAGACUCCUACGGGAGGCAGCAGUGGGGAAUAUUGGACAAUGGGCGCAAGCCUGAUCCAGCCAUACCGCGUGGGUGAAGAAGGCCUUCGGGUUGUAAAGCCCUUUUGUUGGGAAAGAAAAGCAGCAGGUUAAUACCCCGCUGUUCUGACGGUACCCAAAGAAUAAGCACCGGCUAACUUCGUG